AAUGGGGGCAACCCUGAUCCAGCCAUGCCGCGUGAGUGAAGAAGGCCUUCGGGUUGUAAAGCUCUUUCGGCCGGGAAGAAAUCGCCAUCUCUAAUAUAGGUGGUGGAUGACGGUACCGGAAUAAGAAGCACCGGCUAACUACGUGCCAGCAGCCGCGGUAAUACGUAGGGUGCGAGCGUUAAUCGGAAUUACUGGGCGUAAAGCGUGCGCAGGCGGUUUUGUAAGACAGGCGUGAAAUCCCCGGGCUCAACCUGGGAACUGCGCUUGUGACUGCAUCACUAGAGUACGGCAGAGGGGGGUGGAAUUCCACGUGUAGCAGUGAAAUGCGUAGAGAUGUGGAGGAACACCGAUGGCGAAGGCAGCCCCCUGGGCCGAUACUGACGCUCAUGCACGAAAGCGUGGGGAGCAAA
Molecule: ribosomal RNA, 410 nt
Filed under: uncultured bacterium
Lineage: Bacteria
Description: bacterial SSU rRNA
Rfam family: Bacterial small subunit ribosomal RNA
Source: RNAcentral